GCCUUUGUGGUGUAACGGUAGCACACUCGGCGCCUAUUCGAGAGGCUCAAGUUCGAGUCCCGGCGAGGGCA
Molecule: transfer RNA, 71 nt
Filed under: Stegodyphus mimosarum
Lineage: Eukaryota; Metazoa; Arthropoda; Arachnida; Araneae; Eresidae
Rfam family: tRNA
About the family: Transfer RNA (tRNA) molecules are approximately 80 nucleotides in length.
Source: Rfam by way of RNAcentral